AUUUUUUAAAAAGCUGGAGUGUACCGGGAGGCUGCAGCCCGGGGCCGAGGAAGCGCGGGCGGAGGGAAGCCAGAUUCCAGGGGGUUCCUUCCGAAACCACAUCUUAAAACAUACAUUAAAACCCAGUUUUGCAGCUGCUUUCCCUGGGUGCCAAUGGAAAGUGUGAUCCAGAGCCUGGGGCCUGAGGAGACCCCUGGAGGGCAGUGUCUACACCUUCUGCAAAGGCAUAAACUUCCCCCACGGAGGAUCCUGGGGGAACAGCCUGGUACUUCUCCAGAGGCUCCCUGUGCUUUCGCCUGGCUGGCAAAUUACUUCACAUACCUGGAUGGACCUAUCCAAAAAAUAAAAGAAGGGAGGGAGACAGAGGAGGAAGGAAAAAGCUGAAUCUGCUCUAAAUAAGUCUAUACUUGCCUUUAGACUGGGUGGCUGUGUACUGAGUCAAUAAUGUAUGGGGAGUGGGGAGCAGUAGUCUCACCACUUAAGUAAGAGGCCCCUUUGAAGACAACAAGGAGCUCUGGUUAGAACACUGUUAGGUGAAAUGCUCAGUUUAGCUGCUUAAAGUGAGCAUCAAAGGCAUACAGGUGCUGGCCAAUGAAGCCAGUCCAAUGUACUAUAUUUUAAAAAGUCCUAAUGUAAUACUCAGCACACAGUAGAUGCUCAAUAAAUGGUUUUUUGUGUGAAUAGUGAAUAAACCCUAUCACCACAUAAAUGAAACCAACAUAAGCAUCCAAGCUCCAUUAGUUUUCCUCAGAGACCACUAAGACUUUGAUUAGGCAACCCUAUUUAGGGUGUAUUUUAGCCUAAAAGUGAUUCCCACCAACGAAAGUGAGUUCAAAAUGAUUAUUCCCAAAUAUCAGAGCGGCUGAACAAUAAAGAAUACAACAUAAGAUGUUUCCAUCAAUUCCAGCACCCUACACUGCCAAUAUCUUCCAAAUAGACCAGUAUCGAGAACAUAGUAUCAAAAGAUCCAUUUUUUUUAACAUUGCUUUUUGGAUAUGUACAAAUUUGA
Molecule: long non-coding RNA, 1009 nt
Organism: Hipposideros armiger (great roundleaf bat)
Lineage: Eukaryota; Metazoa; Chordata; Mammalia; Chiroptera; Hipposideridae
Exons: 3
Source: RefSeq, a predicted model, not a curated record